UCGCGAAAGCCGUUUCGUCCGCCGGCGCCUGCUGUGCCAAGGCCGCCGCACUGGCGCUCUUCAGGUGAUCCUGGAGAGGGAGAGGGAGAGGGUAGAAGCACGAGGCCGUUCGAUGUUUUCCACCUGCUUCGUGUGUUGAGUAGCAUGUUUGUUUAAGAACCAGUGUAUACUAUUACAUCUCCUCAUUAAGUUUAUUUUAAAUAAUUUGUGUACAAAUUUUGUAUUUUUUAAAGCAUAGAGUUGCACAGUUCGAAUGUUAUUUAAGUGCAUAAAGAAACUGAUUUUGGCACAUUAGUUUUCCCGUAUAGUUAAUACAAUCUCCUGAAGUCAGUAUUUGUUUACUUGCCACGGAAAGUCAUAUCCCUCCUAGAGGAAGUCAUAUUCAUCACGUCUUUUGGAACUGAAGUAGAAGCUUUUUACACUGUGUUAAUAAAAAAAAUAUGUUUUUUAUUUAUGAAAAUACAUAUUUCACAAAGGGUCGUCCUUUCAUCGACAGAAAGUCAUAUCCCUCCCAGAGGAAGUCAUAUUCGUCAGGUCUUUUGGAACUGAAGUAGAAGCAAAAUUUUACACUGUGUUAAUAAAAAAAAUAUGUUUUUUAUUUAUGAAAAAACAUAUUUCACAAAGGGUCGUCCUUUCAUCGACAAAAAGUCAUAUCCCUCCCAGAGGAAGUCAUAUUCAUCACGUCUUUUGGAACUGAAGUAGAAGCUUUUUACACUGUGUUAAUAAAAAAAUUAUGUUUUUUAUUUAUGAAAAUACAUAUUUCACAAAGGGUCGUCCUUUCAUCGACAGAAAGUCAUAUCCCUCCCAAAGGAAGUCAUAUUCGUCAGGUUUUUUUGAACUUAGAAAC
Molecule: long non-coding RNA, 847 nt
Filed under: Hordeum vulgare
Lineage: Eukaryota; Viridiplantae; Streptophyta; Magnoliopsida; Poales; Poaceae
Description: long non-coding RNA (HVUL_LNC005652)
Source: RNAcentral